This 300-nucleotide ribosomal RNA is filed under the name uncultured microorganism. RNAcentral describes it as "bacterial SSU rRNA". It matches the Rfam family "Bacterial small subunit ribosomal RNA", at positions 9 to 301 of the family's 1533-position model. The record is from RNAcentral.
GAGUUUGAUCGUGGCUCAGAUUGAACGCUGGCGGCAUGCCUUACACAUGCAAGUCGAACGGCAGCAUGAUCUAGCUUGCUAGAUUGAUGGCGAGUGGCGAACGGGUGAGUAAUACAUCGGAACGUGCCCUGUAGUGGGGAGUAACUAGUCGAAAGAUUAGCUAAUACCGCAUACGACCUGAGGGUGAAAGUAGGGGGACCGGCAAGGCCUCAUGCUAUAGGAGCGGCCGAUGUCUGAUUAGCUAGUUGGUGGGGUAAAGGGCCCGACCAAGGCGACGAUCAGUAGCUGGUCUGAGAGGAC